RNAcentral lists this ribosomal RNA (3260 nucleotides) under Capsicum annuum. Its description in RNAcentral is "eukaryotic LSU rRNA". It matches the Rfam family "Eukaryotic large subunit ribosomal RNA". Lineage: Eukaryota; Viridiplantae; Streptophyta; Magnoliopsida; Solanales; Solanaceae. The record is from RNAcentral.
AUGACCCCAGGUUAGGCGCGAUUACCCGCUGAGUUUAAGAAUAUCAAUAAGUUGUGGAAAAGAAACUUACAAGGAUUUCCUUAGAACGGCGAACGAAUUGGGAAUAACUCAGCCUUAGAAUCGGGCGAUUGUAUCAUCCGAAUUAUAGUGUAGAGAAGUAUCCUCAGAGGCGAACCGAGACCAAUUCCCCUGUAAGAAGGCACCAAAGAGGGUGAGAGACUCGUUGUGCUAUGAACCUUCACACCAAAUAAGUCGGGUUCAUGCGGUCAAUUUCGUCCAAGGCUAAAUAUAGGCGAGAGGUCGAUAGCGAACAAGUACUUCGAGGGAAAGAUAAAAAAGACUUUGAAAAAAGAGUCAAAGAGUGCUUGAAAUUAUUGGGAGGGAAGAAGUUGGUGGCCAGUGAUGCACCCCGGUCGGAUGUGGAAUGAUGAUAAGCUGGUCCGCCAAUUGACUCGGUGUGUGGACUAGCAUGGGUUGGAGAAGAGGCCAAAGCCCGAGCUUUUGAUACGCUCAUAAAAUGUCUUCUCCUCAAUAAUGGUAGGCAAUGUGCACCUCUAGCGUGCUUCAGCAUCUAUGUGCUUUGGACACUGGCCUGUGGGCUUCCCAUUAGACCCGUCUUAAAAUAAGCACUAAGGAGUCUGACAUGUGUGUGAGUCAACGGAUGAGUAAACUCGUAAGGCGUAAGGAAGCUGAUUGGUGUGAUCCCCCUAAGAGGUGCACCAUUGACUGACCUUGAUCUUUUGAGAAGAGUUUGAGUGUGAGCAUACCUAUCGAGAGAUAAAAGAUGGUGAACUAUGCCUGAGCGGAGCGAAGCCAGAGGAAACUAUGGUGGAGGCCAGUAGUGAUAUUGAUGUGCAAAUCAUUUAUCUGACUUGGGUAUAGGGGAUAAAGACUAAUCGAACUAUCUAGUAGCUGGUUCCAUCUGAAGUUUCCCUUAGGAUAAAUGGAGAUUGCAUGCGAGUUCUAUGUAGUAAAGCCAAUAAUUAGAGGCCUCGAGGGUGCAAUGCCCUCGAUCUAUUCACAAACUUUAAAUAGAUUGGAUGGCGCGACUGCUUUGUUGAGCCACACCAUGAAAUCAAGAGCUCCAAGUGGGCCAUUUUUGGUAAGCAGAACUGGAAAUAUGGGAUAUACCAAAAGACGGGUUACGGUGCUAAACUGUGCACUAACCUAGAUCCCACAAAGGGUGUUGGUCGAUUAAGACAGUAGGACGGUGGUCAUGGAAGUUGAAAUCUACUAAAAAGUUUGUAACAACUAGCCUGUUGAAUCAACUAACCCUAAAAAUAGAUGGUGCUUAAGCGCUCAAACUACACCAGGCCGUCAGGGAAAGUACUAGGCCCCGAUAAGUAGGAGGGCGUAGAGGUCGCUGCAAAACCUUAGGCACGAGCCCGAACGAAGCGGUCGUCGGGGUAGAUCUUUGUGGUAAUAGCAAAUAUUCAAAUAAUAACUUUGAAGGCUAUAGAGGGGAAAGGUUCCUUGUGAAUGACACUUGCUCAUGGGUUAGUCAAUCUUUAAGGUCAGGGGAACCUUGAUGGAUAUCGCAUUUUGUGUGUACUCCAAAAGAGAAUCGGGUAAAAAUUACUGAUUUGAGAUGUGGCGGUCGAUGGCAAUAUUAGGAAAUCCGAAGAUGUUAGUGAAAGACUUGGGAAGAGUUAUCUUUUUUUUUAACAGCCUUUUUACCCUGGAAUCGACUCUAUCAGAGGUAGGAUCCAGCGGCUAGAUGGAUACCGUACUUUACAUAGUGUUUGGUGCGCUCUAGACAACCCUUAAAAAUCUAGAGGACCGAAUACCGUCCACGCUUAAUCAUACUCAUAACAGCAUCAGGUCUCCAAGGUGAAUAGCCUCUGGCUGAUGGAACAAUGUAGGUAAGGGAAGUCGGCAAAAUAGAUCCACAACUUGUAAAGGAUUGACUUUAAGGGCUGGCCACGGGGGUCUAAUCCUGAGCCCAUCGAUUGUCAGUGGACUUCUUGAGCUAUUCCCAUGGCGAAAGGGGGUCACCGUAUAUCAAACGGGGGAUGGAUUGGAAAUGGUUCAUUCAUGGGACUUCCCCACGUGUCGAACAACAAACUCAAAAUAGGUACAGACAAGGGGAAUCAAACUGUUUAAUUAAAACAAAGCAUUGCGAUAUCCCAAUAAAUGUUUAAGCAAUUAGAUUUCUGUCCAAUGCUCCGAAUGUCAAAGUGAAGAAAUUCAACCAAGUAUGGGUAAACGGUGGGAGUAACUAUGAAUCUCCUAAGGUAUCCAAAUGUCUCAUCAUCUAAUUAGUGAUGUGCAUGAAUGGAUUAACAAGAUUUCCACUCACUCUGUCUACUAUGCCGUAAAACCACAACCAAAGAAAUGGGCUUGGCAGAAUCAGCAGGGAAAAAGACCCUGUUGAGCUUGACUCUAGUUUGAAUUUUUGAAAUGACUUGAGAGCUUUAGUAUAAGUAGGAGCCAAAAGAAAAAAGUGAAGACAUUGCCCCUCUUUUUGGACCCAAGGCUUGCUCUACAGGCUAUAUGGGUGGAAGACAUUAUCAGGUGGGGAGUUUGGCUGGGGCAGCACAUCUGUUAAAAGAUAACAUAGGUGUCCUAUGAUAAGCUCUACGUGAAUACAUUCGUACUGUGAAAGAUAUUCGUACUAUGAAAACAUGGCCUAACGAUCCUUUAGACCUUCAAAAUUCAAAGAUAGAGUUGUCAGAAAAGUUACCACAGGGAUAACUGGCUUGUGUCAGCUAAGUAUUCAUUGUGACAUUUCUUUUUUAUCCUUUGAUGUUGGAUCUUCCUAUCAUUAUGAAGUAGAAUUCCCCAGGUAUUUGAUUGUUCACCCACCAAUAGAAAAUGUGAGCUGGGUUUAGACCGUCGUAAGACAUGUUAGUUUUACCUUACUGAUGAUAGUGUCGCAAUAGCAAUUCAACUUAGUACUAGAGAAACUGUUGAUUUACAUAAUUCAUCAUCACACUUAGUAGAAAAGACAGUGGCGCAAAGCUACCAUGUGCUAGAUUAUGGCUGAAUUCCUCUACGUCAUAAUCUGGGAUAGAAGUGAUGCAUGCGCUCUUCGUUUCCUUACCGACCCACAGUAGAGGCCUUGGCCUUCAAGGACAUGUGUCGUUGGCUAAGUCGCCAUAGAAGAAGGGUCGUAGUGGCCUUUUUCAAGUACAAUUUCCAUCAAACGGUGGGUUGAAUCCUUUAUAGAUGACUUAAAUAUGCUACGGGGUAUUGUAAGUAGCAGAGUGGCCUUGCUUCCAUGAUCCACUAAGAUUCAGCCUUUUAUCGCUCUGGUUUGC